RNAcentral lists this ribosomal RNA (253 nucleotides) under uncultured bacterium. RNAcentral's name for it is "partial 16S ribosomal RNA". It matches the Rfam family "Bacterial small subunit ribosomal RNA", at positions 524 to 776 of the family's 1533-position model. The record is from RNAcentral.
UACGAAGGGGGCUAGCGUUGUUCGGAAUUACUGGGCGUAAAGCGCACGUAGGCGGAUACUUAAGUUAGGGGUGAAAUCCCAGGGCUCAACCCUGGAACUGCCUUUAAUACUGGGUAUCUUGAGUUCGAGAGAGGUGAGUGGAAUUCCGAGUGUAGAGGUGAAAUUCGUAGAUAUUCGGAGGAACACCAGUGGCGAAGGCGGCUCACUGGCUCGAUACUGACGCUGAGGUGCGAAAGCGUGGGGAGCAAACAGG